GACGAACGCUGGCGGCGUGCUUAACACAUGCAAGUCGAACGCUGAAGCUUGGUGCUUGCACUGGGUGGAUGAGUGGCGAACGGGUGAGUAAUACGUGAGUAACCUGCCCUUGACUCUGGGAUAAGCCUGGGAAACUGGGUCUAAUACUGGAUACGACAUGUCACCGCAUGGUGGUGUGUGGAAAGGGUUUUACUGGUUUUGGAUGGGCUCACGGCCUAUCAGCUUGUUGGUGGGGUAAUGGCUCACCAAGGCGACGACGGGUAGCCGGCCUGAGAGGGUGACCGGCCACACUGGGACUGAGACAGGGCCCAGACUCCUACGGGAGGCAGCAGUUGGGAAUAUUGCACAAUGGGCGGAAGCCUGAUGCAGCGACGCCGCGUGAGGGAUGACGGCCUUCGGGUUGUAAACCUCUUUCAGCACGGAAGAAGCGAAAGUGACGGUACGUGCAGAAGAAGCGCCGGCUAACUACGUG
This 472-nucleotide ribosomal RNA is filed under the name uncultured bacterium. Its description in RNAcentral is "partial 16S ribosomal RNA". It matches the Rfam family "Bacterial small subunit ribosomal RNA", at positions 28 to 507 of the family's 1533-position model. The record is from RNAcentral.